This 19-nucleotide transfer RNA is filed under the name Toxicodendron vernicifluum (Chinese lacquer tree). RNAcentral's name for it is "partial tRNA-His". RNAcentral also lists the same sequence under 74 other names. The record is from RNAcentral. Lineage: Eukaryota; Viridiplantae; Streptophyta; Magnoliopsida; Sapindales; Anacardiaceae.
GGCGGAUGUAGCCAAGUGG